Molecule: ribosomal RNA, 266 nt
Filed under: uncultured bacterium
Lineage: Bacteria
Description: partial 16S ribosomal RNA
Rfam family: Bacterial small subunit ribosomal RNA
Source: RNAcentral
CCGGCGACCGGCGGACGGGUGCGUAACGCGUAUGUAACCUACCUUUGACAGGGGGAUAACAUCGAGAAAUUGGUACUAAUACCCCAUAACAUCACCGGAGGCAUCUUCGGUGGUUGAAAACUCAGGUGGUCAGAGAUGGACAUGCGUUGUAUUAGCUAGUCGGUGAGGUAACGGCUCACCAAGGCGACGAUACAUAGGGGGACUGAGAGGUUAACCCCCCCACAUUGGUACUGAGACACGGACCAAACUCCUACGGAAGGCAGCAG